GCGCUUUUUAUCCUACACUACGGAAAUUAUAAAAAUUCAAUGGCCAACCAUUUCAUAAGAUAGAGAGUCGAAAGGGAAGGAAACUCUAUAUCCUCCUUAUAGCUCAAGGUUCAAUGGAUGAGAGAAGCAAAUCUAAGGAAAUAAUUGACCCACACUACCAUGGCAAUUCUUAAUGUCAUGUUCAUGUAUGUAUGAUUUAGUGUAAAAUAGAGAGACAGAAAAAAGUGUAAAAAAGACGAGUAAAUAGGAAAAGAAAAGGUUUAUCCACAAAAGUAAUAGGGCAGUGGCGUAUCUUUUUUUAUUUCCCAAAGGGCAGCGGCAUAUCACGGAG
RNAcentral lists this unclassified non-coding RNA (331 nucleotides) under Hevea brasiliensis (rubber tree). The record is from RNAcentral. Lineage: Eukaryota; Viridiplantae; Streptophyta; Magnoliopsida; Malpighiales; Euphorbiaceae.